GAAGGGAUUAACGCUGGGGGCAGGGCGUCUUUGGAGACGCUGUGGACGAAUUUUCGAGAGGGCAUUCCUGCAUUCCAGGUGGGGAAACGGUGUGAGCGAAGGCGUGGAGGUGAGGAGCCCUAGUGGGGCUUUAUCCUAAAGGUGCUGGAGCUGCCGGGCCUGCCCUGACUACCACAGCGCCUGCCCCGCCUCGCACCAGGGCCUACUGGCCACUCCGUGGUACCUGUCCACAGCCUGUGUUGACUGACAAUCGCUGGGCCCGAUCUGGGGGCGGGAGCACUGAGGGGAUCAGAUGUACCCCCAAGGGAGUGUGCCAGGUGGUGGACACUGUGAGAACGCCAGGGAAGUACCCGCAUGGAGAAGGUGAGAUUGUGGGGAAAGGGAGGGCCCUGUGGCCUGGUGAUCAGGCAUUUGGACGCCAUCCCAAGGACAAUGUGGCGCCAAAGUUUUGAUGCCAGACUUGUUCAGACGAAGGCUUUAGAGAGUACUCAGGUGUCCACGGGGGUGGGUGGUAGAACUUGGUAGGGGUGGGCCUUGUGUCCAACCAGAGGCCCUGGGCUGGAGAGGUAGGGCAGAGGAGGACCUGAGGAGGGCAGAUCUAGUGGGAACCAGGAGGAAGAGGGACUGUUGGUCACCUGUUUCCCAAAGAGUAGGUCACAGGCCUGCUCUCCCAGAAACUCCACCUACUUCCCUCUGCCCUCUGUCCUCUGGGGCUCUGGGGAAUCCCCUUCCACAGGACUUCAUCCCCUCCUGAUUUUGCCUUUGUCCACAUCUUGCCAAGUGACCCUUUAUAAAAGUCAUUUUUUCUAUUUUUGCCUUUCUUCUGCCAGGACCUGGCCUUCCUCCAAGGGGAGGGGGAGGCAGGGAUGAUGCCCCCAGUUCUUCCUGGGCCUCCAGAGCCAGCUGUGUGGAGGUACUGGGCUGAGGUACCGGGGCCAGGGGAGCAGGUGUGGAGUCAGCAGUGGGGCCUUGGACAGGAGCUGGAGGCCUGAGUGGGCCAGUGGCAUUUGGUCUCUCCAGCCAGGGAGCAGUGUUAGUACUGCCCAAGCACCGUGAUGCUGGAAGCCCACAGGAAUGGAUCGUGGCUCUCUUGGGUGUACACCGAGAACCCACUGGGAGACCAGGAAAGGAAAUGAGGGAGGGGGUGAGGCUCCAGUUCACCUAAGUUGGUCCAGACCUUACAUGCAACCCCAGUAAAAUUAGCUUCAGACAGUUUUAUAAAUACACAAAAAUUUGCAGUGGCACAUGCCUGUAAUCCCAGCAGUUUGAGAGGCUGAGGCAAGUUCAAAGCCAGCCUCAGCAACAGCGAGGGACUGAGCAACUCAGUGAGACCCUGUCUCUAAAUAAAAUACAAAGUAGGGCUGGGGAUGUGGGUCAUGGUCAGUGCCCCUGAGUUCAAUCCCCUGUAUCUUCCCCAAAAUUUUAAAAAAAAUGUAAACAAAAAUUCUAAACUUCAUGAAGAAAUAAAGAUGCAAAGAUGACUGGUCUUGAAAGGACUGGAGUAGAGUUUCUCCAAAGAAGAUACACAAACCACCAAUAAGCACAUGGAAAUAAUCUGACACCACUAAUCAUUAGGGAAAUGCAAAUCAAAACUACAAGGAGAAGGGCUG
This 1610-nucleotide long non-coding RNA is filed under the name Marmota monax (woodchuck). The record is from RNAcentral. Lineage: Eukaryota; Metazoa; Chordata; Mammalia; Rodentia; Sciuridae.